UUACGGCCGCAUCAAGAUGAAACAUUGGUUCCCGUACGAUCACUUAAAGUUAAGCAACGUCGAGCCUGCUCUGUACCUAGAUGGGUGACUGCUUAGGAAUACCAGGUGCUGUAA
Non-coding RNA from Acanthosepion pharaonis, 114 nucleotides. Lineage: Eukaryota; Metazoa; Mollusca; Cephalopoda; Sepiida; Sepiidae. The record is from the annotation of a GenBank genome assembly.